UACGAAGGGGGCUAGCGUUGUUCGGAAUUACUGGGCGUAAAGCGCACGUAGGCGGACUUGUAAGUUGGGGGUGAAAUCCCGGGGCUCAACCCCGGAAUUGCCUUCAAGACUGCAAGUCUGGAGGUCAGGAGAGGCGAGCGGAAUUCCGAGUGUAGAGGUGAACUUCGUAGAUAUUCGGAGGAACACCAGUGGCGAAGGCGGCUCGCUGGACUGAUACUGCCGCUGAGGUGCGAAAGCGUGGGGAGCAAACACG
Molecule: ribosomal RNA, 253 nt
Filed under: uncultured bacterium
Lineage: Bacteria
Description: partial 16S ribosomal RNA
Rfam family: Bacterial small subunit ribosomal RNA
Source: RNAcentral